UGCAAAGUUUGAAGUGCCAUUUGUACUGGUGUGCACUUUCCUCCCAGACACCGCAGGAAAAGAAGCAGAAGUGGCUGACAUGUGUGGACCACCUGCAGAACGUGCACGAUAGUUGUUUACAUCCUCCAAUUACUAGAGAAAAAGCGUGGCUAUUAUCAGGUUGUUGUUUGUUUUUCGCAGUGGUGGAACUCCUGACAAAGACCAUGUUUGUCAGCAAUGUCAUGAAGAUGUCUCACCUCAGACAGACCAGUGGCGUGGAAGCUUUUCACAGUGUGGUGAAUCACUUUG
Long non-coding RNA from Hippocampus zosterae (dwarf seahorse), 288 nucleotides. RefSeq lists it as uncharacterized. The transcript has 2 exons. Lineage: Eukaryota; Metazoa; Chordata; Actinopteri; Syngnathiformes; Syngnathidae. The record is from RefSeq and is a predicted model, not a curated record.